This 537-nucleotide small RNA is filed under the name Drosophila pseudoobscura pseudoobscura. Its description in RNAcentral is "GA31163". Lineage: Eukaryota; Metazoa; Arthropoda; Insecta; Diptera; Drosophilidae. The record is from RNAcentral.
AUUAACCCAUUAAGGAUCUUCUCGCAAGGCGUUUAAAACCGGCCUUUAAUGGGUUAAAUUGUAAAGAAAUAAAAACAUGUAUAUACGUAUUACGUACGUACCAAAAGUUUAUAUGUUGAGUUAUGGAGCUAGGGGCAUAGGAGCAUAGUGCCCUCCUCUUCCGUCCUGCGCGACGCUUUACCUAAUCGGCUUGGACCGGCUCUAUUUGGCGACACGCUUUCUGGACACAAACUGAUAUUCCGCGAUCCCUCCUCUAGCCCCACCCGCAGGUCGCACCCUCUGGUGGCUAGGAAUUCCUCUUGCGUGCCCGCGGUCAGCGAUAUGUAUACCAUCGUUUACCAGGGGCUUCACGCUUCUGGUCUUCCGGUUCAUAUGAUCGAGUGCAAUUUGACUGCAGAAAAUAUUCUUGAUUGGCCCAUGAUAAGGACCAAAUCAAGUAUUUUUGUCUUACGGUCACAGGAAGCUGUCGCACACCAAGGUCGGACCACAAAUAACAAAGAAAUAAAAAUAUGCAUGCAUUAUGAAAUUUGCCAAAAA